ACAUAGUUUGUCUCGGCAUUACAAUGUGAGGUAAAGGAAGGAAAUAAAGCGAUGUUAGAAUAUUACAAUCAUAUAUCCGAACAUAUUUUAUGCAGUUGACCAAUGGUGUUGUUUCAUCGAUUUUUACUUCUCUAGAACCACCUGAUUUAUUGGCACAAUGCCUCGGAACAAGCACAGAAGCAAACCAAAUCAAACUGUAGCUGCAUCUACAAAGAAAAAUCAUUUCGCUCUUGAUGUGGCGAGCUUUAUCAAGUUCAAUUACGCAGUACACAUCAGGCAAAUCUGCAACCUCACAAACCACGAAUGAUGCAGCAAAAGCUCGUAAUCCAAAAUUGAUUGAGAUUUCUUAUUUUGGUUGGUUAGUUGCAUCAGUGACAAAUCUCUAGAGAUGUUGCAUAUUUUUGGACAAUUGUUGGAAAAUACCUUUAUAUUAUACCUUUCCGCUAAAAUUUGUAUUAUUUUGCAAAGUAGGCUCUGCGCUAGGUGGGGUUGUCAUCCUCCAUUAUUUAUGGCCAUGACAAAUGACAAUAUCAGGAUGCUAUUCAACUUUGACUUUUGUCGACAUGUGUUUUGAUGCUACUUCAAUUCUUUAGCGCAUCGCGAUGAGGCUGAUACUGUUGGUUGUACACUGAAGGUUGAAAAUGUUAACUGUUUUGAAUAGAGUAUUUCAAUAUAUUGGCACAGAUUAGCAACAAUACUUACUAUGGUAAUUACAAUGCCAUAAAAUUUCUGAAUUAUUAGAAUAUUUUGCACUAUUACACAUUAUUUAAUAAUCGGUGCAAUCUAAUGUUAAUCCACCUAAAUUUGAUAAUAGCUAAAAUUUCUAACAUGCCUCACGUCUUCAUGUUUCUAGCUUCAAAUUCUUAAAAACAAAUUGUUCUACAACUCUCUAUCUUGCUAGAAUGGACUUGUUACCCAUAUAUGUGUAUCUACCUGAGAGCAAACUUUACAUACUUAAAAAAUGUACCUUUUGUGGUUAGAAUCUAACUGUGUUUUUUGUUUAUAACGAUAGAUAAUUUCUGCCUGGAGCAGAAGGUUAUAGGGGUGGCCCAGAUAUCAUGGAGAGGCGCCGUGCUCGGUCCAGUAGGAGCUCCGGGUCAACACUGGGGCUGCGUGGUGGGCAUGAACCAUGGCGACUGCCUUCCGGCUUUAUUCUGUUGGCUCGUACAUUUGCCGCUGGCUAUUCUUACAGAAUCAUGAAUUAGACUUAGGAGAAUUGGCAAGUCAUCACAUGAAUUUUUUUAAACUAUGAGGUGCUACAGGUAAACAUGAUGAAUUCACACUUUUAAACUGCCUGGUGAUUUUUUAAAUCUCCAGGCAAUCAGAACAUAUGCAUUUUCUUUGUUUCUCGCUUCAUGUUUUGUCAUGGACUACAUGAGUUUCAUGUAUACCAGAAUGUUUUCAAACCUGUGAUUAACAAGUUCUUUUCCACUUCUAAAUUACAAAUAUCUUAUUGAUGCUACCAUAUUGUAGAGUGUACUUGAUGGUGAUAUUUUUUUACCUCUUAAAUGUUGAAAUUUAGUUAAUAUUCCUAUAUGUUGAAAGUAGUAAUAGUCCUUAGUUUUCAUAGUGGUUCAUGAUCUUGGUGGUGC
This 1592-nucleotide long non-coding RNA is filed under the name Triticum aestivum (bread wheat). Its description in RNAcentral is "long non-coding RNA (TAES_LNC019403)". The record is from RNAcentral. Lineage: Eukaryota; Viridiplantae; Streptophyta; Magnoliopsida; Poales; Poaceae.